ACCUGGCUGGCUCAGUCAGUAGAGCACGUGACUCUUGAUCUCAAGAUCACGAGUUCAAGCCCCAUGUUAAGUG
RNAcentral lists this transfer RNA (73 nucleotides) under Canis lupus familiaris (dog). It matches the Rfam family "tRNA". Rfam says of the family: Transfer RNA (tRNA) molecules are approximately 80 nucleotides in length. Their secondary structure includes four short double-helical elements and three loops (D, anti-codon, and T loops). Lineage: Eukaryota; Metazoa; Chordata; Mammalia; Carnivora; Canidae. The record is from Rfam by way of RNAcentral. RNAcentral also lists the same sequence under 2 other names.